Molecule: long non-coding RNA, 243 nt
Filed under: Setaria viridis
Lineage: Eukaryota; Viridiplantae; Streptophyta; Magnoliopsida; Poales; Poaceae
Description: long non-coding RNA (SVIR_LNC004549)
Source: RNAcentral
UUCUGUCUCGCAACUUGCAGACCGUCCGCUAGGGCUGGACCGUCCGCCCUUGUGCUGCGGACUUUCCACCUAUAGUCCGCAAAACAGUUAGAGACCAUUCACUAGGGUCGGACCAUCCACACCUGUGCUGCGGACCGUCUGCAUAUAGUCCGCAGAAUAGUCAGAGACUAUACAGUCUUCAAGGUGUUCGUGUUGAAGUUCUGGCUCGGUUGCUUCUUGAGGAUCCUGCUAUGUCUAUUGGUC